Molecule: long non-coding RNA, 563 nt
Organism: Corticium candelabrum
Lineage: Eukaryota; Metazoa; Porifera; Homoscleromorpha; Homosclerophorida; Plakinidae
Exons: 2
Source: RefSeq, a predicted model, not a curated record
UUCACACACACAUCCCGGAUAUAUAGCCCGGAUAAGUUUAACUUGCACGUGCACGGUAGACCAUUCUCACGUGCACGCAUGCUGGAUCAUGCAUGAUUUAGUAGUUCGAAAUGUGUUGUUAUGCUGACAGAUCGUGGGAAUUGCGCUUUCUCUGCGAGCAGUUACCACACUCAGUAAACAGCAGUGGCUAGUGAAAGGAGAGACCCAGUAUGGGGAAUGUUGGUUGCUACAAACCGUUUUCUUUGCAGAAAUCGACUUUCUCGAGAAACAAUUGACUCCAGAAAAGCUUUGCGUGAUGCAGCUAUCAUACAAGACGGCAGAGGAUGUGUGAAGAAUAUUGGAAGGUGGAUCGGGGAAUGACAUGUUAAAGUACUCUCUAGCAAAAUCUAGCGACUGCUGUGACAUUUCUUACCAGAUUUAUGACGUUUGUUUACCAGUUUACAAUGCUGUAUACGCAUAACUCAAUCUUAACCAGUUAUAGUCAUUACCAGUUGGAUAUAACAGUGUACGCUCUAGAUGUUAAAGAAAGACUCAAAGUAACAUGAUAAUGUUUUGUGCUUGUA